Molecule: non-coding RNA, 1644 nt
Filed under: Saccharomyces cerevisiae YJM326
Lineage: Eukaryota; Fungi; Ascomycota; Saccharomycetes; Saccharomycetales; Saccharomycetaceae
Also listed under: 8 other names
Description: 15S ribosomal RNA
Rfam family: Bacterial small subunit ribosomal RNA
Source: RNAcentral
GUAAAAAUUUUAUAAGAAUAUGAUGUUGGUUCAGAUUAAGCGCUAAAUAAGGACAUGACACAUGCGAAUCAUACGUUUAUUAUUGAUAAGAUAAUAAAUAUGUGGUGUAAACGUGAGUAAUUUUAUUAGGAAUUAAUGAACUAUAGAAUAAGCUAAAUACUUAAUAUAUUAUUAUAUAAAAAUAAUUUAUAUAAUAAAAAGGAUAUAUAUAUAAUAUAUAUUUAUCUAUAGUCAAGCCAAUAAUGGUUUAGGUAGUAGGUUUAUUAAGAGUUAAACCUAGCCAACGAUCCAUAAUCGAUAAUGAAAGUUAGAACGAUCACGUUGACUCUGAAAUAUAGUCAAUAUCUAUAAGAUACAGCAGUGAGGAAUAUUGGACAAUGAUCGAAAGAUUGAUCCAGUUACUUAUUAGGAUGAUAUAUAAAAAUAUUUUUAUUUUAUUUAUAAAUAUUAAAUAUUUAUAAUAAUAAUAAUAUAUAUAUAUAUAAAUUGAUUAAAAAUAAAAUCCAUAAAUAAUUAAAAUAAUGAUAUUAAUUACCAUAUAUAUUUUUAUAUGGAUAUAUAUAUUAAUAAUAAAAUUAAUUUAUUAUUAUUAAUAAUAUAUUUUAAUAGUCCUGACUAAUAUUUGUGCCAGCAGUCGCGGUAACACAAAGAGGGCGAGCGUUAAUCAUAAUGGUUUAAAGGAUCCGUAGAAUGAAUUAUAUAUUAUAAUUUAGAGUUAAUAAAUAUAAUUAAAGAAUUAUAAUAGUAAAGAUGAAAUAAUAAUAAUAAUUAUAAGACUAAUAUAUGUGAAAAUAUUAAUUAAAUAUUAACUGACAUUGAGGGAUUAAAACUAGAGUAGCGAAACGGAUUCGAUACCCGUGUAGUUCUAGUAGUAAACUAUGAAUACAAUUAUUUAUAAUAUAUAUUAUAUAUAAAUAAUAAAUGAAAAUGAAAGUAUUCCACCUGAAGAGUACGUUAGCAAUAAUGAAACUCAAAACAAUAGACGGUUACAGACUUAAGCAGUGGAGCAUGUUAUUUAAUUCGAUAAUCCACGACUAACCUUACCAUAUUUUGAAUAUUAUAAUAAUUAUUAUAAUUAUUAUAUUACAGGCGUUACAUUGUUGUCUUUAGUUCGUGCUGCAAAGUUUUAGAUUAAGUUCAUAAACGAACAAAACUCCAUAUAUAUAAUUUUAAUUAUAUAUAAUUUUAUAUUAUUUAUUAAUAUAAAGAAAGGAAUUAAGACAAAUCAUAAUGAUCCUUAUAAUAUGGGUAAUAGACGUGCUAUAAUAAAAUGAUAAUAAAAUUAUAUAAAAUAUAUUUAAUUAUAUUUAAUUAAUAAUAUAAAACAUUUUAAUUUUUAAUAUAUUUUUUUAUUAUAUAUUAAUAUGAAUUAUAAUCUGAAAUUCGAUUAUAUGAAAAAAGAAUUGCUAGUAAUACGUAAAUUAGUAUGUUACGGUGAAUAUUCUAACUGUUUCGCACUAAUCACUCAUCACGCGUUGAAACAUAUUAUUAUCUUAUUAUUUAUAUAAUAUUUUUUAAUAAAUAUUAAUAAUUAUUAAUUUAUAUUUAUUUAUAUCAGAAAUAAUAUGAAUUAAUGCGAAGUUGAAAUACAGUUACCGUAGGGGAACCUGCGGUGGGCUUAUAAAUAUCUUAAAUAUUCUUACA